GACGAACGCUGGCGGCGUGCUUAACACAUGCAAGUCGAACGGAAAGGCCCUGCUUUUGUGGGGUGCUCGAGUGGCGAACGGGUGAGUAACACGUGAGUAACCUGCCCUUGACUUUGGGAUAACUUCAGGAAACUGGGGCUAAUACCGGAUAGGAGCUCCUGCUGCAUGGUGGGGGUUGGAAAGUUUCGGCGGUUGGGGAUGGACUCGCGGCUUAUCAGCUUGUUGGUGGGGUAGUGGCUUACCAAGGCUUUGACGGGUAGCCGGCCUGAGAGGGUGACCGGGCACAAUGGGACUGAGAUACGGCCCAGAAUGCUACGGGAGGCAGCAGUGGGGAAUAUUGCAGAAUGGGCGGAAGCCUGAUGCAGCAACGCCGCGUGCGGGAUGACGGCCUUCGGGUUGUAAACCGCUUUCGCCUGUGACGAAGAGUGAGUGACGGUAAUGGGUAAAGAAGCACCGGCUAACUACGUG
Molecule: ribosomal RNA, 468 nt
Filed under: uncultured bacterium
Lineage: Bacteria
Description: partial 16S ribosomal RNA
Rfam family: Bacterial small subunit ribosomal RNA
Source: RNAcentral